GUAGGUGGCAAGCGUUGUCGGGAAUUAUUGGGCGUAAAGCGCGCGCAGGCGGUUCUUUAAGUCUGAUGUGAAAGCCCACGGCUCAACCGUGGAGGGUCAUUGGAAACUGGAGAACUUGAGUACAGAAGAGGAAAGCGGAAUUCCACGUGUAGCGGUGAAAUGCGUAGAGAUGUGGAGGAACACCAGUGGCGAAGGCGGCUUUCUGGUCUGUAACUGACGCUGAGGCGCGAAAGCGUGGGGAGCAAACAGGGAUUAGAUACCCUGGUAGUCCACGCCGUAAACGAUGAGUGCUAAGUGUUAGGGGGUUUCCGCCCCCUUAGUGCUGCAGCUAACGCAUUAAGCACUCCGCCUGGGGAUACGGCCGCAAGGCUG
Molecule: ribosomal RNA, 372 nt
Filed under: uncultured organism
Description: partial 16S ribosomal RNA
Rfam family: Bacterial small subunit ribosomal RNA
Source: RNAcentral